RNAcentral lists this ribosomal RNA (301 nucleotides) under uncultured bacterium. Its description in RNAcentral is "partial 16S ribosomal RNA". It matches the Rfam family "Bacterial small subunit ribosomal RNA", at positions 509 to 807 of the family's 1533-position model. The record is from RNAcentral.
CAGCCGCCACGGUAAUACGAAGGGUGCAAGCGUUAAUCGGAAUUACUGGGCGUAAAGCGUGCGUAGGCGGUUUGGCAAGUUUGGUGUGAAAUCUUCGGGCUCAACUCGAAGUCUGCAUCGAAAACUGCCGGGCUUGAGUAUGGGAGAGGUGAGUGGAAUUUCCGGUGUAGCGGUGAAAUGCGUAGAUAUCGGAAGGAACACCUGUGGCGAAAGCGGCUCACUGGACCAUAACUGACGCUGAGGCGCGAAAGCUAGGGGAGCAAACAGGAUUAGAUACCCGCGUAGUCCCUGUCUCUUAUAC